Molecule: long non-coding RNA, 555 nt
Organism: Leptidea sinapis
Lineage: Eukaryota; Metazoa; Arthropoda; Insecta; Lepidoptera; Pieridae
Exons: 3
Source: RefSeq, a predicted model, not a curated record
CUACAUGAAUAAAGUGAUUUUGAAUUUUGAUUAAUAUUUAUUAGCUUAUAACAAUGUUUUAACCACAGCAGUUUGUAGUGUAUUAUUUGCAAGAUUACUGCUUCACGGCAUAAAUAGGCGCCGUUGGGGUAAUCUACCCUGCAUACGGUGCAAAGGAGCCUCCCACUGAUAUGAAAUGAAAAUAAAGGAAGACACGAGUAGGACGUUCAACUAAUUGUUAUUGAUACGCCCUGCCUAUUACAAUGCAUCGCCGCUCAAGAUUAUUGAUAAAUCCAAAAAUGCUGAGGGGAACUACAACUGCUCUCGUCACCUUGAGACAUAAGAUGCCAAGUGUCAUUUACCCAAUAAUUUCACUAGCUACGGUGCCCUUUAAAAGGCAUAAAGGCAUAAAAGGCAUUUAUUUUCUCAAAAUUGAUUCCUUUAGAAUUCUUUUUGAUGUCAUUUCUUAUACUACUAGAUACUACUACCGCUUCGGAAACAAAUGGCGCUCUGAGAGAGAAGAAGCGGCGCAAGAAACUCUCCCAGCAUUCUUUUUUUUUUGCGCUCUUUUCAAUA